ACAAGAGGUCACCUUAGGAGCCUCGUCGUGGAGCGAAAUCUGUGCCGAACACUUGAUGCCCAUUAAGGAAAAUGACCCGAAACUCAGAAAUAAGGGAAAGUGGUGAGUGCCUGCCUCGACGGAGAAGCAUCUGGAAGCCCUACCCGAGGGCCAUCCAGUUCCUUAUGAAGGUCCCUUCGUUGGACAUUUUGUUGCUGCACUGAGACAAAACUAAUGCAGGAUGUGGAACUGGGGAGGAAGGUCAUUCUUCAAGCCGAUACGGAGACAAGGAGACAAGAAUAACAGAAUUUGUUUCUCUACUCAGUUUCACCUGUCAAGAUGACUGUUUGGAAAACCAGUAGUAAAAACAAGAAGACUUUGGUGUUGGAGAGAUGGCUCAGUGGUUUAGAGCUCUUGUUGCAGUGACCCAGUUUCGAUUCCCAGCAUGCACGGGCUGGCUCACAAUCAUCUAUUACUCCAGUUCCAGAGGAUCCAAUACCCUCUCUGCCUUCCUUGGACACCAGGUGUGCAUACAUAUACUAUGCAGGCAAAACCUUCAUACACAUAAAAUGAAGUAAAUAUAUAUUAUAUAUAAAUAUAUUUAUUUAAUCUAUGUUAUAUACAAAUAAAUAUAUAUUAAAAUG
Molecule: long non-coding RNA, 623 nt
Organism: Alexandromys fortis (reed vole)
Lineage: Eukaryota; Metazoa; Chordata; Mammalia; Rodentia; Cricetidae
Exons: 3
Source: RefSeq, a predicted model, not a curated record